Agrilus planipennis (emerald ash borer) is the source of this 266-nucleotide long non-coding RNA. RefSeq lists it as uncharacterized. Lineage: Eukaryota; Metazoa; Arthropoda; Insecta; Coleoptera; Buprestidae. The record is from RefSeq and is a predicted model, not a curated record. The transcript is spliced from 3 exons.
GGAUGGCCACAUUUUAAAGAAAUUUUUAUGGUUUCUGCAUUAACAGGGGAUGGUUUGGAAGAUGUUAAAAAUUAUUUAUUAUGUCAAGCUAAACCUGGAAAUUGGCUUUACUCAGAAGAAGUAUGGACAGAUCAACUACCUGAACAGAUCAUACAAAACACUGUAAAAGCUACAUUUUUAGACUUUCUGCCUCAAGAAAUACCAUACCGUUUAAAGCCACAAAUUGAACUCUUGGACUUUAAUAAAGAAGGUGUAAUUACAACAGA